Molecule: ribosomal RNA, 439 nt
Filed under: uncultured bacterium
Lineage: Bacteria
Description: partial 16S ribosomal RNA
Rfam family: Bacterial small subunit ribosomal RNA
Source: RNAcentral
CUACGGGCGGCAGCAGUGGGGAAUAUUGCACAAUGGGGGGAACCCUGAUGCAGCAACGCCGCGUGGAGGAUGACACAUUUCGGUGCGUAAACUCCUUUUAUAGGUCAAGAUAAUGACGGUAGCCUAUGAAUAAGCGCCGGCUAACUCCGUGCCAGCAGCCGCGGUAAUACGGAGGGCGCAAGCGUUACUCGGAAUCACUGGGCGUAAAGAGCAUGUAGGCGGGUUAAUAAGUCAGAAGUGAAAUCCAAUAGCUCAACUAUUGAACUGCUUUUGAAACUGUUAACCUAGAGUGUGGGAGAGGUAGAUGGAAUUUCUGGUGUAGGGGUAAAAUCCGUAGAGAUCAGAAGGAAUACCGAUUGCGAAGGCGAUCUACUGGAACAUUACUGACGCUGAGAUGCGAAAGCGUGGGGAGCAAACAGGAUUAGAUACCCCCGUAGUC